RNAcentral lists this ribosomal RNA (253 nucleotides) under uncultured bacterium. RNAcentral describes it as "partial 16S ribosomal RNA". It matches the Rfam family "Bacterial small subunit ribosomal RNA", at positions 524 to 776 of the family's 1533-position model. The record is from RNAcentral.
UACGGAGGGUGCAAGCGUUAUCCGGAUUUACUGGGUUUAAAGGGUGCGUAGGUGGUUAAUUAAGUCAGUGGUGAAAUCUUCAGGCUUAACCUGGAAACUGCCAUUGAUACUAUUUAUCUUGAAUACUUUGGAGGUAAGCGGAAUAUGUCAUGUAGCGGUGAAAUGCUUAGAUAUGACAUAGAACACCAAUUGCGAAGGCAGCUUACUACACAGUAAUUGACACUGAGGCACGAAAGCGUGGGGAUCAAACAGG